Molecule: long non-coding RNA, 1329 nt
Organism: Notolabrus celidotus (New Zealand spotty)
Lineage: Eukaryota; Metazoa; Chordata; Actinopteri; Labriformes; Labridae
Exons: 2
Source: RefSeq, a predicted model, not a curated record
UCCUUCAAAUCAGGAUCUGACGUUUACUCGGUCUCACGGAGGAAAAACAGAGUCCUCAGAGAAUUCACCUCCUCGGCUCUGUGCACCUUUGGACUCGAACACCAACACAGUCUGGUUCUGGCUCAGUCCUGUCCCGUGACCCUGCUGGUCCAGAUUUUGCUUUCACGUUUUUAUGCUUCAGAAAACACCGAAAAGUGGAGAAAAAGUGACGCCUAAUAUUUACACGUAAGUUUGUCUGAUGCUCUUUAAACCAGUGGAGUGGAGGAGCUCACAUGGGGGUCAUUUUUUUCAGAUGAUCCAGCAGGUGACAGGUGUUUGUGUAGAAGUAAAUUGUGUAUUGAAUAAAAGAAAAAGCUUAAAAAAUAAAAUAAAAAUAAAUAAUCAUAAUAAUGUCUGUUUAAAAUAGAAGUGUCUCGAGCAGUGAUAGAUUCCCACAACUAGAGGGAGCUCUUGUUCAAUGUUCUCCUCUACAUCUCACAGUCUGAUAUGGUGGAUGGAAAGUGCAAUGCAAAUUUAAAAAGGAUGAAACACUUUUACAAGGUGGAGACAAAUUUACAUUUGGAAACAUUUUAACAAUUUAAAAAACAGAAUUAUAUUCGCUUAACAUUUUAAUGAAGGCCAAAACAAAUAUACCUUUAAGAAAACAAAAUCAGAAUUACUGAAGCAGUGAAACAGUUUUACCAGUCAAGAAACAAAAUUACAAACAGCAGAUUCUACCACAAAAAGAAUAUACCAAUGAUUUUCAAAAUAAAAGACGUAUGUAAUAUGAAAAUAUGCAACAGCCAGGGAAUUGAUAUUUGACAUUAACAAUCCUGUUUUCACUUAAAUAUUUUGAUUGAGACUGACAACAGAACACCUUAAAAUGUGUUCCUGACAAUCACAGUUAUAUAUGGAAUUUCAUAAUAAAAACCAUUGGAAAUGUAGCAUAUACAUUUAUUUUGAAAUUCACAAUCAGAUUCUGAUUGGCAGGAACACAUUUUGAGCUGUUCUCUUACCAGUCUAAAUCUAAAACAUUUAAGUGAAAACAGGGUUGUUUAUCCUUUCUGAGCAGUAUUAAGGGCAGGCUGAAAACAUUUAUUUUUUCAUCAGUUUACACUUUGGGUUGUGUGAAUGUAUGUGUGAGCGCAUCGAACUCCAUGUGUGGGUAUUGUGAUGUGGAGAUUGUGUGCUCGGAAAUUUUGUACAAAUGCAUAUAAAAUGUUUGUACUUUGUAUUUUAUUAACUUGAUUUCCUCUGUAAUUUUCAAGUGUUGUAAUUGUGAAGCAUGUUGUGUUUCCUUGGGUAUGUAAUGUGCUAUACAAAUAAAAAUAUAUAAUUUUAUUUUAAAAA